Molecule: non-coding RNA, 101 nt
Organism: Brevibacillus parabrevis
Lineage: Bacteria; Bacillati; Bacillota; Bacilli; Caryophanales; Paenibacillaceae
Source: Rfam
CUCUUAUCAAGAGAGGCAGAGGGACUGGCCUGAUGAAGCCUCGGCAACCGGUUAAAAUCCGGUGCCAAUUCCAGCAAAGCUACGGCUUUGAAAGAUGAGAG